GACGAACGCUGGCGGCGUGCUUAACACAUGCAAGUCGAACGGUAAGGCCCUUCGGGGUACACGAGUGGCGAACGGGUGAGUAACACGUGGGUGGUCUGCCCUGCACUUCGGGAUAAGCCUGGGAAACUGGGUCUAAUACCGGAUAGGACCACUGCCUGCAUGGGUGGUGGUGGGAAGCUUUUGCGGUGUGGGAUGGGCCCGCGGCCUAUCAGCUUGUUGGGGGGGUGAUGGCCUACCAAGGCGACGACGGGUAGCCGGCCUGAGAGGGUGACCGUCCACACUGGGACUGAGAUACGGCCCAGACUCCUACGGGAGGCAGCAGUGGGGAAUAUUGCACAAUGGGCGCAAGCCUGAUGCAGCGACGCCGCGUGAGGGAUGACGGCCUUCGGGUUGUAAACCUCUUUCAGCACCGACGAAGCGCAAGUGACGGUAGGUGCAGAAGAAGGACCGGCCAACUACGUGCCAGCCGCCGCGGUAA
RNAcentral lists this ribosomal RNA (478 nucleotides) under uncultured bacterium. Its description in RNAcentral is "partial 16S ribosomal RNA". It matches the Rfam family "Bacterial small subunit ribosomal RNA", at positions 28 to 523 of the family's 1533-position model. The record is from RNAcentral.